This 434-nucleotide long non-coding RNA is filed under the name Coturnix japonica (Japanese quail). RNAcentral describes it as "lncRNA (ENSCJPG00005018344.1)". The record is from RNAcentral. Lineage: Eukaryota; Metazoa; Chordata; Aves; Galliformes; Phasianidae.
UAAUGAGAAUACCAUAAUUUCCUUUUCACUUUAUUUAUUUAUUUUUUUAAAAUCAACCAAUCAAUUGUAUGGUUUCCUCUGCUUUAGGAAACAGGGAAUUUAAAUUUUUUUUUUUUUUUUUUUUUAAAUGCAGCAUUUUCUGGUUUGACAUGAUCAAGAUCAUUAAACAAAACUGUACUGGAGACUCAUUUGCAGAAAUUAAUAACGUGUGUGAGAGCAUGGCUGCUAGUCACCUAUUAGGAGGAUACCAAAUCUGUGUUGUCCAGGUGUGGAGAAGAGAGUAAGAAGAGGGAAAAAAUGACGUGCUCUGGUGAAGGGAUGAAAAUGAAGACUUCUGAGAUAAGUUUCAUCAUACUGCUUUUCUGCAAGUUUCACUUUUCAUGUUCUUGAUGAGAACUCUUUAUUUCAAUAUGAGUAUUUAGGAUUAAUAAAAC